UCAAAAAAAUCAAACGGCACAAAAUCUAGAUUGAAGAGACAAAGAAAGAAGAAAAUUCCAGAAGAAAAAAAAAGGCUCAAGGAUGCUGAGAACGGAAUCGAAGCCGAAAUCAGUAAGGAAACCUCUGAGAGAUUUGACGAACAAUAAAAUCACAAAGACUUUCUCCAAAUCUGAGAUGCCGAAGAAGAAGAUUAUCCAAAAAGACAGUAAUAAUCAAAACCACAACUCCCUCGAUCUCCUCCUCUUCCUUCGCUCCGAUCUUUCCUCUCUCCUUCGCCAGAUUGAUGAACUAGUUGUGGAAGCUUUCAAGCUUAAGUCAAGGGAACAGGGGAGAAAAGAAAUUGAAUCUUUCACGAGCGACAUUUCUGAUAUGCUUUUCUCCUUAAAGCCGUGGGUCCCCAGAUUUCAGAAGGCACUUUCCAGUCCUACUGGGGAGCACGAAGAUCAUCAGCCUCAAACAAACUUGGAAGCUGAAAUUGCGACUUUUGUUGAUGCAAAUGAAAAUGAAUGCUUUGAUGUUGGAAGUCCAGAAGAAACAACGUUGGACUCGUUAAUCUCCCCCUCUCCCCUUGUAUCUUGGCGUGCUGCUGACUGUAAUGUUGAGAGAGGUAGACAGCUGUUUCUGCUCACACCUCUUCCUCUGUUGAAAGCAGUGUCUUCCAAGAGGCGUGAAUUGUCUAAGUCAGUAAUCGAAGGGAUAGCUUCCAAAUCUAAUGUUGAGCUUGCAUCUUUUCUCAACAUUCCUGUGGAUGAAAAUGCUUACUUGCUUGAUGGUGUUGAAAUGAAGGCAACUCCAGUUAAGCCUUCUGAUUUAGUUGUGGUUCAAACAGUUAACACAUCGGAGUGUAGGAUCGUUUCUUCACCAGUGUUUCCAAAAAGAGAUCAUUCCGUGCUUGUCACGACCCCAUGCUUAAAAAUGUCACCUCCUAAAUCUUGUUUGCUGCUCGAACCUAUCCAUGAGUCCUCGAACAGAAGCUGUUUUUUAAUUCGCAAGUCUACCCCAUAUCCUGCUGGAAUUAACAAGAGUGGUUUUUCUGAAUCCUCUGGAAGUAAGGAAUCCCCUGAGGAUCUGUCUUUGAAGUAUCCAGAACUACGAGGAAUACAACAAACAUAUGUACCCGAAAUCAGGAAAAAAGAGCCGGAGUCUUCACCAACGUGGUUAUUCUCUCCUCCUAAAAGUUGCAUUUUGUUGGAGCCACCAGAUGAGGAACCCCUGGACAAUGUUGGCACUGGUCACCACUUGCCUACCACUGGUGCUUUAAAUCAACAAGCAGAUGUGGUUUUCUGGAAAGGAAAUGCUCGUCGAGAAACCAAUAUAAUUAACCAAGAAAAUACUGGCAUUAGCUUGGCUCCCGUAGAGAGUACUCCAAUGUGGAAGGAACCUCAGAGCACAAUGCGGAGGGGGAAACAUCAGGGUGAGAGUACUCUAAAGAAGGAGUUGUGGACGAAAUUUGAAGCGGUGUCGAGCUAUGGGCUUCGUUACAACACCUCAGCAGUUCAAAGAACAGCUAGAAAGGGUUUUCUUGACAUGCUGGAUGAGGCUUCGUGUGACGAAGAAAGUUCAAUAUGAGAUGGUUCGAGAUGACACUGCUCUCCAUGUCUACAAAACUGCAAAAAGCUCGAUUUAUAGUCGUUGGUAUUUGCAGAGAUUUUUCUGAGCUCUAUGAAUUGGGAUGUGAAUGCCUCUUUUGUAAGUUAUGGUUCCACCAAUAUCAGUUUAAACAUCAAUGUGGGAAAGUAAUUUUAUUAGAAUUUGUGGGGGCUUCUUGUUCAGUCGCAUGA
Hibiscus syriacus is the source of this 1782-nucleotide RNA transcript. RefSeq lists it as uncharacterized. Lineage: Eukaryota; Viridiplantae; Streptophyta; Magnoliopsida; Malvales; Malvaceae. The transcript is spliced from 5 exons. The record is from RefSeq and is a predicted model, not a curated record.